This 73-nucleotide transfer RNA is filed under the name Planctomycetota bacterium. RNAcentral's name for it is "Planctomycetes bacterium (bioreactor metagenome) tRNA-Lys". It matches the Rfam family "tRNA". From Rfam's summary of the family: Transfer RNA (tRNA) molecules are approximately 80 nucleotides in length. Their secondary structure includes four short double-helical elements and three loops (D, anti-codon, and T loops). The record is from RNAcentral. Lineage: Bacteria; Pseudomonadati; Planctomycetota.
GGGCGCAUAGCUCAGUCGGUAGAGCAGCUGGCUUUUAACCAGCGGGUCGUAGGUUCGAGUCCUACUGCGCUCA